GACGAACGCUGGCGGCGUGCCUAAUACAUGCAAGUAGAACGCACAGUUUAUACCGUAGCUUGCUACACCAUAGACUGUGAGUUGCGAACGGGUGAGUAACGCGUAGGUAACCUGCCUGGUAGCGGGGGAUAACUAUUGGAAACGAUAGCUAAUACCGCAUCAUAUUGAUUAUUGCAUGAUAAUUGAUUGAAAGAUGCUAUUGCAUCACUACCAGAUGGACCUGCGUUGUAUUAGCUAGUAGGUGAGGUAACGGCUCACCUAGGCGACGAUACAUAGCCGACCUGAGAGGGUGAUCGGCCACACUGGGACUGAGACACGGCCCAGACUCCUACGGGAGGCAGCAGUAGGGAAUCUUCGGCAAUGGACGAAAGGCUGACCGAGCAACGCCGCGUGAGUGAAGAAGGUUGUCGGAUCGUAAAGCUCUGUUGUAAGAGAAGAACGGGGGUGAGAGUGGAAAGUUCACACUGUGACGGUAUCUUACCAGAAAGGGACGGCUAACUACGUG
This 505-nucleotide ribosomal RNA is filed under the name uncultured bacterium. RNAcentral's name for it is "partial 16S ribosomal RNA". It matches the Rfam family "Bacterial small subunit ribosomal RNA", at positions 28 to 507 of the family's 1533-position model. The record is from RNAcentral.